CCUCAGUAAGAGCAUUGAAGAUGGGUCGUGGCUGGGUCUUCAAGCAUGACAACGAACCAAAACACACAGCCAGGACAACUAAGGAGUGGCUCCGUAAGAAGCAUCUCAAGGUCCUAGAGUGGCCUAGCCAGUCUCCAGACCUGAACCCAAUAGAAAAUCUUUGGAGGGAGCUGAAAGUCCGUAUUGCCCAGCGACAGCCCCGAAACCUGAAGGAUCUGGAGAAGGCCUCUUGGUCCUGCGAUAUCUGCGUUCCUUUCAAGGCGCUCUCUCGCCCCAGGUGAACUGCAGGCGAAGAUGAAGAAACUCAUUGCAGUUCAAGCCGUAGACCUACAGGUCCCCCCAUCACUCCCUCGGCCUCUGCCUCCAGCUGACCAAGCCCCUGUUCCUGCCCCGGCCUCUGCUCCGCUGGGGCAGAGAGAAUUGGAUUUGCCCCGGUAGUCCUUCCUGCCUCCAAGGCCGCCCUCCGUUUCUCUGAAACAUUACCAUCCCUUCUCCCCCAUCACUCUCUCCUCUCACUCAGCUGCUGCUUCCACAGAGUUGGUGUUCAUCUCUCACCAAGGAGCAGCAGCGGUGGAUCGGCCGCACGCUGUUCACCAGGAAUUGCCGACCCGUGCCGUCAUCAUUGCUUGAACAAAAUGAGCUUCACAGGCAAGGAUAUUGCUGCCGGUAAGAUUGCACCUAAAUCAACCAUUUAUCGGAUCAUCAAGAACUUCAAGGAGAGCGGUACAACUGUUGUGAAGAAGGCUUCAGGGCGCCCAAGAAAGUCCAGCAAGUGCCAGGACCGUCUCCUAAAGUUGACUCAGCUGCGGGAUCUACAGAGCUUGCUCAGGAAUGGCAGCAGGCAGGUGUGAGUGCAUCUGCAUGCACAGUGAGGCAAAGACUUUUGGAGGAUGGCCUGGUGUCAAGAAGGGCAGCAAAGAAGCCACUACUCUCCAGCAAAAACAUCAGGGACAGACUGAUUUUCUGCAAAAGGUACAGGGAUUGGACUGUUGGACUGGGUUAAAGUCAUUUUCUCUGAUGAAUCCCCUUUCCGAUUGUUCCGGGGAAGACAAGGUGAGCGCUACCAUCAGACCUGUGUCAUGCCAGCAGUAAAGCAUCCUGAGACCAUUCAUGUGUGGGGUUGCUUCUCAGCCAAGGGAGUGGGCUCACUCACAAUUUUGACUAAGAACACAGCCAUGAAUAAAGAAUGGUACCAACACAUCCUCAAGAGCAACUUCUCCCAACCAUCCAGGAACAGUUUGGUUACGAACCAUGCCUUUUCCAGCAUGGAGCACCUUGCCAUAAGGCAAAAGUGAUAACUAAGUGGCCCGGGGAACAAAACAUAUAUAUUUUGGGUCCAUGGCCAGGAAACUCCCCAGACCUUAAUCCCAUUGAGAACAAUCCUCAAGAGGCGGGUGGACAAACAAAAACGUACAAAUUCUGACAAACUCCAAGCAUUGAUUAUGCAAGAAUGGGCUGCCAUCAGUCAGGAUGUGGCCCAGAAGUUAAUUGACAGCAUGCCAGGGCAGAUUGCAGAGGUUUGAAAAAGAAGGAUCAACACUGCAAAUAUUGACUCUUUGUAUCAACUUCAUGUAAAUGUCAAUAAAAGCCUUUGACACUUAUGAAAUGCUUGUAAUUAUACUUCAGUAUUUCAUUGUAACAUCUGACAAAAACAUCUAAAGACACUGAAGCAGCAAACUUUGUGAAAAUUAAUAUUUGUGUCAUUCUCAAAACUUUUGGCCAUAACUGUACAAUGACUGGGACCAGCUGGUGGUUCGGCUGGACAUCUGGCACCUGAUGGGGCAGUUCGCGUCAGGUGUCACCACUGAGAGCCACCAGCUCUACGGUCCCUUCAUGCGGCAGCUGUCAGCCUGCAUCUUUGAGUGGGAGGCGAUGUCCGCCGACUGCUGGAGGCCAAGAGGUCUGAGAUGGAGGGGAAGCACGGGAUGGUCGGUCUCACCGAGCAGAGACUGAGUGGAGAUGCGGCGACCAAAGUCUUUCUCCUUGACCUCUUUGAGACCUUCAACAGCGAGAAGGGGGUCGACACCCUGGGCAUCCCGUUGCUGGACUCCAUACGGAUGCGCCACAUCCACUGUAUACAGGACCCACGAGAUCGGCAAAUGCCGGUAUAUCGCUGAGCACGGGGCUCCACAUCCUUGGAGUCAUUCUACCUCCACCUCAACCGGUACCAGGGCAAUUGCAAUGCAUUUCCAGGCAUUCCUGUUGGAUGGACUGAUGAGGUGGAACGAGGACCGUGCGCAGGCAGCAGUGGAGGGAAAGAACAGGAAGCCCCUGCUCUCCUACAGUGGCCACCUGCAGCACAUCCUUAACCUUAGCAGCCAAAGGGUUGCUUGGCGAGGAACAGGGGGAACUCCCCAGAGUGGAGUACCUGUACUGGCAGAGUGCUGCAGGAUGUCAGCGCGGACCCUGACCUUCCGGAAGAGGCAGCCGCCAUCGAGCAGGACGAGGUUUUUCAGGAGGAGGUUGUGGACCAGACAGUCCACAUCCCUCAUGUCACUCCUAUGAGUGCCCCGUCCUCCAGCUCAGCGGCACCUCUGUCAGGGGAACCCGCUGACGCAUCCAGGUCUGGGCCAUCCAGUCCCACUGCCCUUGCAGACGGAAGCUCUCCUGAGGCCCCUGGUCGACACGGUUCUCCUCACCCUGACCCACUCCUCUGAUUCAGAGGUAAAUAUAAUUGAGCUUUUGUGUUGUUAAAAAAAUACAUGCUAUUGUAACCUCUUAAAUAAGGAAUUGAGACAAACUCAAGACACAAGUUAU
Oncorhynchus tshawytscha (Chinook salmon) is the source of this 2757-nucleotide long non-coding RNA. NCBI's taxonomy places the organism in Eukaryota, Metazoa, Chordata, Actinopteri, Salmoniformes, Salmonidae. The record is from Ensembl.